UGUGUGUGUGUGUGUGUGUGUGUGUGUGUGUGUGUGUGUGUGUGUGUGUGUUUUACACACACACACACACACACACACACACACACACACAGAGAAGGGGAAAUGAGACGGGUGGGGAUGCAGUGGCAGAGGGAAGAGUCAGGUUAGGUCUGCCCCUCCCUCCACACACCCUUCCCAUUUCCCCUUCUGUG
Eriocheir sinensis (Chinese mitten crab) is the source of this 191-nucleotide small nucleolar RNA. RefSeq annotates it as small nucleolar RNA SNORA23. The record is from RefSeq and is a predicted model, not a curated record. Lineage: Eukaryota; Metazoa; Arthropoda; Malacostraca; Decapoda; Varunidae. The transcript has a single exon.